This 305-nucleotide ribosomal RNA is filed under the name uncultured bacterium. Its description in RNAcentral is "bacterial SSU rRNA". It matches the Rfam family "Bacterial small subunit ribosomal RNA", at positions 335 to 654 of the family's 1533-position model. The record is from RNAcentral.
AUCCCUACGGGGCGCAGCAGUGGGGAAUAUUGGGCAAUGGGCGCAAGCCUGACCCAGCAACGCCGCGUGAAGGAAGAAGGCUUUCGGGUUGUAAACUUCUUUUCUCAGGGACGAAGCAAGUGACGGUACCUGAGGAAUAAGCCACGGCUAACUACGUGCCAGCAGCCGCGGUAAUACGUAGGUGGCAAGCGUUAUCCGGAUUUACUGGGUGUAAAGGGCGUGUAGGCGGGAAAGCAAGUCAGAUGUGAAAACCACGGGCUCAACCUGUGGCCUGCAUUUGAAACUGUAUUUCUUGAGGACUGGAG